GAGUUUGAUCCUGGCUCAGGAUGAACGCUGGCGGCGUGCUUAACACAUGCAAGUUGAACGGACUCAUAUUGAAACCUAGUGAUGUAUGAGUUAGUGGCGGACGGGUGAGUAACGCGUGGAGAACCUGCCGUAUACUGGGGGAUAACACUUAGAAAUAGGUGCUAAUACCGCAUAAGCGCACAGCUUCGCAUGAAGCAGUGUGAAAAACUCCGGUGGUAUACGAUGGAUCCGCGUCUGAUUAGCUAGUUGGUGGGGUAAAGGCCCACCAAGGCGACGAUCAGUAGCCGGCCUGAGAGGGUGAACGGCCACAUUGGGACUGAGACACGGCCCAAACUCCUACGGGAGGCAGCAGUGGGGAAUAUUGCACAAUGGGGGAAACCCUGAUGCAGCGACGCCGCGUGAGUGAAGAAGUAUUUCGGUACGUAAAGCUCUAUCAGCAGGGAAGAAAAUGACGGUACCUGACUAAGAAGCCCCGGCUAACUACGUGCCAGCAGCCG
This 497-nucleotide ribosomal RNA is filed under the name uncultured bacterium. Its description in RNAcentral is "bacterial SSU rRNA". It matches the Rfam family "Bacterial small subunit ribosomal RNA", at positions 9 to 517 of the family's 1533-position model. The record is from RNAcentral.